RNAcentral lists this ribosomal RNA (800 nucleotides) under uncultured bacterium. RNAcentral's name for it is "bacterial SSU rRNA". It matches the Rfam family "Bacterial small subunit ribosomal RNA", at positions 90 to 887 of the family's 1533-position model. The record is from RNAcentral.
GACGAGUGGCGGACGGGUGAGUAAUGUCUGGGAAACUGCCUGAUGGAGAGGGAUAACUACUGGAAACGGUAGCUAAUACCGCAUAACGUCGCAAGACCAAAGAGGGGGACCUUCGGGCCUCUUGCCAUCGGAUGUGCCCAGAUGGGAUUAGCUAGUAGGUGGGGUAACGGCUCACCUAGGCGACGAUCCCUAGCUGGUCUGAGAGGAUGACCAGCCACACUGGAACUGAGACACGGUCCAGACUCCUACGGGAGGCAGCAGUGGGGAAUAUUGCACAAUGGGCGCAAGCCUGAUGCAGCCAUGCCGCGUGUAUGAAGAAGGCCUUCGGGUUGUAAAGUACUUUCAGCGGGGAGGAAGGCGACAAGGUUAAUAACCUUGUCGAUUGACGUUACCCGCAGAAGAAGCACCGGCUAACUCCGUGCCAGCAGCCGCGGUAAUACGGAGGGUGCAAGCGUUAAUCGGAAUUACUGGGCGUAAAGCGCACGCAGGCGGUCUGUCAAGUCGGAUGUGAAAUCCCCGGGCUCAACCUGGGAACUGCAUUCGAAACUGGCAGGCUAGAGUCUUGUAGAGGGGGGUAGAAUUCCAGGUGUAGCGGUGAAAUGCGUAGAGAUCUGGAGGAAUACCGGUGGCGAAGGCGGCCCCCUGGACAAAGACUGACGCUCAGGUGCGAAAGCGUGGGAGCAAACAGGAUUAGAUACCCUGGUAGUCCACGCCGUAAACGAUGUCGACUUGGAGGUUGUGCCCUUGAGGCGUGGCUUCCGGAGCUAACGCGUUAAGUCGACCGCCUGGGGAGUACGGCC